UACGAACCGAGCGAACGUUGAUCGGAAUAACUGGGCUUAAAGGGCGCGUAGGCGGGCUGUCAAGUCUGGGGUGAAAGCCCGCGGCUCAACCGCGGAACCGCCCCGGAUACUGACGGCCUCGAGGGGGGUAGGGGCGAGCGGAACUAAUGGUGGAGCGGUGAAAUGCGUUGAUAUCAUUAGGAACUCCGGUGGCGAAGGCGGCUCGCUGGACCUCUUCUGACGCUGAGGCGCGAAAGCUAGGGGAGCAAACGGG
This 253-nucleotide ribosomal RNA is filed under the name uncultured bacterium. RNAcentral's name for it is "partial 16S ribosomal RNA". It matches the Rfam family "Bacterial small subunit ribosomal RNA", at positions 524 to 776 of the family's 1533-position model. The record is from RNAcentral.